AGAUUAAGUUAUUAAGGGCGCACGGUGGAUGCCUUGGCACUAGAAGCCGAUGAAGGACGUUACUAACGACGAUAUGCUUUGGGGAGCUGUAAGUAAGCUUUGAUCCAGAGAUUUCCGAAUGGGGAAACCCAGCAUGAGUUAUGUCAUGUUAUCGAUAUGUGAAUACAUAGCAUAUCAGAAGGCACACCCGGAGAACUGAAACAUCUUAGUACCCGGAGGAAGAGAAAGAAAAUUCGAUUCCCUUAGUAGCGGCGAGCGAAAGGGGAAGAGCCCAAACCAACAAGCUUGCUUGUUGGGGUUGUAGGACACUCUAUACGGAGUUACAAAGGACGACAUUAGACGAAUCAUCUGGAAAGAUGAAUCAAAGAAGGUAAUAAUCCUGUAGUCGAAAAUGUUGUCUCUCUUGAGUGGAUCCUGAGUACGACGGAGCACGUGAAAUUCCGUCGGAAUCUGGGAGGACCAUCUCCUAAGGCUAAAUACUCUCUAGUGACCGAUAGUGAACCAGUACCGUGAGGGAAAGGUGAAAAGCACCCCGGAAGGGGAGUGAAAUAGAACCUGAAACCGUGUGCUUACAAGUAGUCAGAGCCCGUUAAUGGGUGAUGGCGUGCCUUUUGUAGAAUGAACCGGCGAGUUACGAUUUGAUGCAAGGUUAAGCAGUAAAUGUGGAGCCGUAGCGAAAGCGAGUCUGAAUAGGGCGUUUAGUAUUUGGUCGUAGACCCGAAACCAGGUGAUCUACCCUUGGUCAGGUUGAAGUUCAGGUAACACUGAAUGGAGGACCGAACCGACUUACGUUGAAAAGUGAGCGGAUGAACUGAGGGUAGCGGAGAAAUUCCAAUCGAACCUGGAGAUAGCUGGUUCUCUCCGAAAUAGCUUUAGGGCUAGCCUCAAGUGAUGAUUAUUGGAGGUAGAGCACUGUUUGGACGAGGGGCCCCUCUCGGGUUACCGAAUUCAGACAAACUCCGAAUGCCAAUUAAUUUAACUUGGGAGUCAGAACAUGGGUGAUAAGGUCCGUGUUCGAAAGGGAAACAGCCCAGACCACCAGCUAAGGUCCCAAAAUAUAUGUUAAGUGGAAAAGGAUGUGGCGUUGCCCAGACAACUAGGAUGUUGGCUUAGAAGCAGCCAUCAUUUAAAGAGUGCGUAAUAGCUCACUAGUCGAGUGACACUGCGCCGAAAAUGUACCGGGGCUAAACAUAUUACCGAAGCUGUGGAUUGUCCUUUGGACAAUGGUAGGAGAGCGUUCUAAGGGCGUUGAAGCAUGAUCGUAAGGACAUGUGGAGCGCUUAGAAGUGAGAAUGCCGGUGUGAGU
This 1306-nucleotide ribosomal RNA is filed under the name Staphylococcus aureus. Its description in RNAcentral is "partial 23S ribosomal RNA". It matches the Rfam family "Bacterial large subunit ribosomal RNA", at positions 1 to 1307 of the family's 2925-position model. Lineage: Bacteria; Bacillati; Bacillota; Bacilli; Caryophanales; Staphylococcaceae. The record is from RNAcentral.